Molecule: ribosomal RNA, 250 nt
Filed under: uncultured bacterium
Lineage: Bacteria
Description: partial 16S ribosomal RNA
Rfam family: Bacterial small subunit ribosomal RNA
Source: RNAcentral
UUAUGAUUAGUGGCGGACGGGUGAGUAAUGUAUAGGGAUCUGCCUGUUAGUGGGGGACAACAGCCGGAAACGGCUGCUAAUACCGCAUACGCUCUACGGAGGAAAGUGGGGGACCCUCGGGCCUCACGCUAACAGAUGAACCUAUAUUGGAUUAGCUAGUUGGUAGGGUAAAGGCCUACCAAGGCGACGAUCCAUAGCUGGUUUGAGAGAAUGAUCAGCCACACUGGGACUGAGACACGGCCCAGACUCC